UACGUAGGGUGCGAGCGUUGUCCGGAAUUAUUGGGCGUAAAGGGCUCGUAGGCGGUUUGUCGCGUCGGGAGUGAAAUCCACUGGCUUAACUGGUGGCUUGCUUUCGAUACGGGCAGACUGGAGGUAUGCAGGGGAGAACGGAAUUCCAGGUGUAGCGGUGAAAUGCGUAGAUAUCUGGAGGAACACCGGUGGCGAAGGCGGCAUCCUGGACCGGCAUUGACGCUGAGGCGCGAAAGCCAGGGGAGCAAACGGG
This 253-nucleotide ribosomal RNA is filed under the name uncultured bacterium. RNAcentral's name for it is "partial 16S ribosomal RNA". It matches the Rfam family "Bacterial small subunit ribosomal RNA", at positions 524 to 776 of the family's 1533-position model. The record is from RNAcentral.